UCCCUGCUGGCUCAGAUGGUAAGGCAUCUGCCUGCAAUGUGGGAGACUUGGGUUCGAUCCCUGGGUUGGGAA
This 72-nucleotide transfer RNA is filed under the name Bos taurus (domestic cattle). It matches the Rfam family "tRNA". Rfam says of the family: Transfer RNA (tRNA) molecules are approximately 80 nucleotides in length. Lineage: Eukaryota; Metazoa; Chordata; Mammalia; Artiodactyla; Bovidae. RNAcentral also lists the same sequence under 2 other names. The record is from Rfam by way of RNAcentral.